UUAACUACAAAACAGAAGAAGUAAAUAGAAUAACAAUACUAUCAAUCAAACGACACAAGGAAAACACAAAUCAAUCAUUCAUUCAUCCUAAUAUCCAAGAACCAGCCCAGUACGGAUUGUUCAAGUGUAUAUGUGGACUGCGUGUAUGAUGUUGUCGGCGUGUUGUGCAUUAGUGUUGUCUGCGGCUGCCGGCAGGCUGUGCGUGCAGCUGGCCAGCGUGUGUGAGGUGCGUGUCUGUGGCUGCCGGCAGGCUGUGCGUGCGGCUUGCUUUGUUCAGGUACUGUUAAAUUCAGGAGAGGAAGAGAACUCGAGUAGUGCUGUCAAUUUCUGCAUGCAAUGUUGGUGAUUCAGAUUCAGCAUGGAUAAGUUUGUCAUGGUUUUAAUAAAUAGGCAUGAUUGAUUUUAGUUGCUAGAAGGAAAGGCAGUGAUACAAAUUUUAUAAUUAGGAUGUCGUUUUGCACAGUUCUAUCAAGUUAUUUGCAUUGUACAGUCACAAUUCUAAGCUUAAUCUUGUUAGCUAUGUAGCAUUGCAGAUCAGGCUCUUUUUUCCUACCAGAUCAAUACCUUUGGUCAGAUUUAGCUUAUUUGAUAGUAACAAAGAAUAAAUGGUGUGAAUAUAACAAAUAAUAUGCGGUGGUGACCUAUCAAAACUAUUAAUGUGCAUUUUGCAGUUCCGAUUUUUACAAUUUCUAUUCUUCCCUUCUGAUCCACAGUUUGCUCUUCUAACACAUAAUACUAUAUAUGCACAUGCAGCCCUUUCAGUUGAGCUGAGUCCUGGUAUCCUUGGAAACAUUUUUGAUGAAAUCCAGGUAAGUUCAGCAUGAUAAUCAUUCCAUUUCUGUUAAAUUUGCAGCACCCCCUAAAAACUAUUGCUAUUAGAUCUGAAGACGAUGCACCCUGGUAAUUUAAGCCAAAAAAGCUGGGUAAUGCGUUUGGCAUAUUUUAACUGUGAAUGAGGGACAUCUUGUUAAUCGUUAGCAGGCCCUCUAAAACAUCUCCUUUUUAUUAUUUGCUUUAGCUGUUGGAGAUGUUCUCACCGGUGAAGAUCUAUAUGCUUUUAUGAUGAUUUUGGGCAUACCAAGCUUAAAGAAGAUAUCUCACAAAUGCAUCGUGUCUAGCUUUUUAGCCUUACAAAUUAGAGGUUUUGAUUGAUACAUGCAUAUUAUUGGAAUAUUUGGUGCUUUGAAAAGACUAUGGGUGGAGUCAACAAACUGACUGAAUGUAUGAAAGAAAUCCAAGACUCUUUGUCAGCUUCUCUUGGAGCUUCUGCUAAUUUCAACAAGGUAAUAUUUAAGAUUUAUUACAAUCUUGUAUUUAAUUAUUUUAUCUGAAUCACUUACAUCUAUACUAUUACACACAAAAAACUUGCAUGAUUAAACAGAGGAGGAACUUAAAGAAUUGGAGUGAGCAGUGUGUGUCUGUUAGAUCGAUCUGUAAAUCUUAGUCUACUUGCUGAUUUCAUAGGACUAAUUCACUGGUGCACGGUGAAUGCUCUAGCAUACACAGGUGGAUUUUCCCAUAUAAUUGUAAUAUUAGUCAAGACGUGCAUUGCACGUGCACGCUUACUAGU
Non-coding RNA from Aegilops tauschii subsp. strangulata, 1570 nucleotides. The record is from RefSeq and is a predicted model, not a curated record. NCBI's taxonomy places the organism in Eukaryota, Viridiplantae, Streptophyta, Magnoliopsida, Poales, Poaceae.